GAUUAGAAUAUUCUUGAAUAUGACUUUGGACUGACCGUUUUAGAGAAAAUCUGUGACCUUGAGAAUUAAAAUUAUCAAAUUGUGUUGUAUUAAGUGAAGAUAUUGAAUUUUGUAUGAUGAAUUGAGAAAUUGAAUAUAAUAAGUAAGAUAGAGAUUAUUAAUUGAAUAUAUAUAAACUGCAAAGAGAGUAAGUGGAAGAUGAACUAAUAAGAAGAUAGAAGUGUUAUUGAAUUGAUAGU
This 239-nucleotide long non-coding RNA is filed under the name Physcomitrium patens. Its description in RNAcentral is "long non-coding RNA (PPAT_LNC000756)". Lineage: Eukaryota; Viridiplantae; Streptophyta; Bryopsida; Funariales; Funariaceae. The record is from RNAcentral.